CCUACGGGAGGCAGCAGUGAGGAAUAUUGGUCAAUGGACGAGAGUCUGAACCAGCCAAGUAGCGUGAAGGAUGACUGCCCUAUGGGUUGUAAACUUCUUUUAUAUAGGAAUAAAAUGUUCCACGUGUGGGAUUUUGUAUGUACCAUAUGAAUAAGGAUCGGCUAACUCCGUGCCAGCAGCCGCGGUAAUACGGAGGAUCCGAGCGUUAUCCGGAUUUAUUGGGUUUAAAGGGAGCGUAGGUGGAUUGUUAAGUCAGUUGUGAAAGUUUGCGGCUCAACCGUAAAAUUGCAGUUGAAACUGGCAGUCUUGAGUACAGUAGAGGUGGGCGGAAUGCGUGGUGUAGCGGUGAAAUGCUUAGAUAUCACGAAGAACUCCGAUUGCGAAGGCAGUUCACUGGACUGCAACUGACACUGAGGCUCGAAAGUGUGGGUAUCAAACAGGAUUAGAUACCCCGGUAGUC
RNAcentral lists this ribosomal RNA (460 nucleotides) under uncultured bacterium. Its description in RNAcentral is "partial 16S ribosomal RNA". It matches the Rfam family "Bacterial small subunit ribosomal RNA", at positions 338 to 795 of the family's 1533-position model. The record is from RNAcentral.